AACGCUGGCGGCAGGCCUAACACAUGCAAGUCGAGCGGAAACGAGUUAUCUGAACCUUCGGGGAACGAUAACGGCGUCGAGCGGCGGACGGGUGAGUAAUGCCUAGGAAAUUGCCCUGAUGUGGGGGAUAACCAUUGGAAACGAUGGCUAAUACCGCAUGAUGCCUACGGGCCAAAGAGGGGGACCUUCGGGCCUCUCGCGUCAGGAUAUGCCUAGGUGGGAUUAGCUAGUUGGUGAGGUAAGGGCUCACCAAGGCGACGAUCCCUAGCUGGUCUGAGAGGAUGAUCAGCCACACUGGAACUGAGACACGGUCCAGACUCCUACGGGAGGCAGCAGUGGGGAAUAUUGCACAAUGGGCGCAAGCCUGAUGCAGCCAUGCCGCGUGUAUGAAGAAGGCCUUCGGGUUGUAAAGUACUUUCAGUCGUGAGG
Molecule: ribosomal RNA, 429 nt
Filed under: Vibrio alginolyticus
Lineage: Bacteria; Pseudomonadati; Pseudomonadota; Gammaproteobacteria; Vibrionales; Vibrionaceae
Description: bacterial SSU rRNA
Rfam family: Bacterial small subunit ribosomal RNA
Source: RNAcentral